RNAcentral lists this ribosomal RNA (440 nucleotides) under uncultured bacterium. Its description in RNAcentral is "partial 16S ribosomal RNA". It matches the Rfam family "Bacterial small subunit ribosomal RNA", at positions 338 to 795 of the family's 1533-position model. The record is from RNAcentral.
CCUACGGGAGGCAGCAGUGGGGAAUAUUGCACAAUGGGGGAAACCCUGAUGCAGCGACGCCGCGUGAGUGAAGAAGUAAUUCGUUAUGUAAAGCUCUAUCAGCAGGGAAGAAAAUGACGGUACCUGAGUAAGAAGCCUCGGCUAACUACGUGCCAGCAGCCGCGGUACUACGUAGGGGGCAAGCGUUAUCCGGAUUUACUGGGUGUAAAGGGAGCUUAGACGGAAGUGCAAGUCUGGAGUGAAAGGCGGGGGCUCAACCCCCGGACUGCUCUGGAAACUGGACGGCUGGAGUGCAGGAGAGGUAAGUGGAAUUCGUAGUGUAGCGGUGAAAUGCGUAGAUAUUAGGAGGAACACCAGUGGCGAAGGCGGCUUACUGGACUGUAACUGACGUUGAGGCUCGAAAGCGUGGGGAGCAAACAGGAUUAGAUACCCCAGUAGUC